UACAGAGGGGGCAAGCGUUGUCCGGAUUUAUUGGGCGUAAAGAGCGUGUAGGCGGCUUUACAGGUCCGUUGUGAAAACUCGAGGCUCAACCUCGAGACGCCGGUGGAAACCGUAAAGCUAGAGUCCGGAAGAGGAGAGUGGAAUUCCUGGUGUAGCGGUGAAAUGCGCAGAUAUCAGGAGGAACACCCGUGGCGAAAGCGGCUCUCUGGGACGGUACUGACGCUGAGACGCGAAAGCGUGGGGAGCAAACAGG
RNAcentral lists this ribosomal RNA (253 nucleotides) under uncultured bacterium. RNAcentral describes it as "partial 16S ribosomal RNA". It matches the Rfam family "Bacterial small subunit ribosomal RNA", at positions 524 to 776 of the family's 1533-position model. The record is from RNAcentral.